This 481-nucleotide ribosomal RNA is filed under the name uncultured bacterium. Its description in RNAcentral is "partial 16S ribosomal RNA". It matches the Rfam family "Bacterial small subunit ribosomal RNA", at positions 28 to 523 of the family's 1533-position model. The record is from RNAcentral.
GACGAACGCUGGCGGCGUGCUUAACACAUGCAAGUCGAACGGUGAAGGAGAGCUUGCUCUCCGGAUCAGUGGCGAACGGGUGAGUAACACGUGGGCAACCUGCCCCAGACUUCGGGAUAACGCUUCGAAAGAGGUGCUAAUACCGGAUACGAACUCCUUGGGCAUCCUUGGAGUUGGAAAGUUUUUCGGUCUGGGAAGGGCCCGCGGCCUAUCAGCUUGUUGGUGAGGUAACGGUUCACAAAGGCGACGACGGGUAGGCGGCCUGGGAGGGCGCGCGGCCAUCCUGGGACUGAGCCAAGGCACGGACUGCUACGGGAGGGAGCAGUGGGGAAUAUUGCGCAAUGGGCGAAAGCCUGACGCAGCAACGCCGCGUGAGGGAUGACGGCCUUCGGGUUGUAAACCUCUUUCAGCAGGGAAGAAGCGAAAGUGACGGUACCUGCAGAAGAAGCACCGGCUAACUACGUGCCAGCCGCCGCGGUAA